GAUGAACGCUGGCGGCGUGCCUAAUACAUGCAAGUCGAGCGAACGGACGAGAAGCUUGCUUUUCUGAUGUUAGCGGCGGACGGGUGAGUAACACGUGGAUAACCUACCUAUAAGACUGGGAUAACUUCGGGAAACCGGAGCUAAUACCGGAUAAUAUUUUGAACCGCAUGGUUCAAAAGUGAAAGACGGUCUUGCUGUCACUUAUAGAUGGAUCCGCGCUGCAUUAGCUAGUUGGUGAGGUAACGGCUUACCAAGGCAACGAUGCAUAGCUGACCUGAGAGGGUGAUCGGCCACACUGGAACUGAGACACGGUCCAGACUCCUACGGGAGGCAGCAGUAGGGAAUCUUCCGCAAUGGGCGAAAGCCUGACGGAGCAACGCCGCGUGAGUGAUGAAGGUCUUCGGAUCGUAAAACUCUGUUAUUAGGGAAGAACAGAUGUGUAAGUAACUGUGCACAUCUUGACGGUACCUGAUCAGAAAGCCACGGCUAACUACGUG
This 497-nucleotide ribosomal RNA is filed under the name uncultured bacterium. RNAcentral's name for it is "partial 16S ribosomal RNA". It matches the Rfam family "Bacterial small subunit ribosomal RNA", at positions 28 to 507 of the family's 1533-position model. The record is from RNAcentral.